Molecule: long non-coding RNA, 23404 nt
Filed under: Triticum aestivum (bread wheat)
Lineage: Eukaryota; Viridiplantae; Streptophyta; Magnoliopsida; Poales; Poaceae
Description: long non-coding RNA (TAES_LNC024060)
Source: RNAcentral
UUUUUUUCUUCUCUUUUUUUUCCUCACACUUUUUUUCUUUUUCUUUCUCUCUUUUUUUCUCUGACUUCUUUUUCUUUUUUUCUCUUUUUUUUCUCUGUCUUUUUUUCUCUCCCUCUUUCUAAGACAAACUAGAUAAGAUGCAGAUUGGAUCAAGCGAAGAUGUGAACAACCUCAACUAUGAUUGUGACAAUGAACUAUGGGUAGCACGUGGUGGAAAUUGAUGGAUGGUGUGGUGGACAGCGGAAGGGAUAACGAUGCAGCGGCGACGUGACUAAUGUGAACAGAACUCGAAACUCUAAACAAACUAGACCCUAAGACCAGCAACUCGACACGACGAUGCAACCGAUAAUUCAAUAAUGCAAACAAUGAAAAGAAAAUUGCAAAGGCUCAAACUGGCUUGGACAAAAGGAUGAAUAGAUCUAACUUUUUUGUGGCUUUCUUGGACAAUAGGUAAGAAAAUAAAUCUAAUCCAGGGAUAACUGGAAAUUCUCACCGAGCAACCUGGCUCUGAUACCACUUGAUAGAGGCAAAGGUGUCCCGAUGUUUCGAUGAGAUAGCAAUCGUUUUCUGUGGGAGUCGACUUUGACGAUCCGACUACGAACGUGCGAAGACGUCGCGCCUUAGCAAUCGCUAAACCAACUUCCGAGGGGUUAUUGACCACGCCGGAGCACGAUCAACCUGACCACGAGGGUCUAUUUCCUGCGAGCAAACGAAGAACAAGCAAGAAGCUGAGAUUGCAAUCUAGAUAUUGCGAAUAAAAGAGAAAAGCUUUAUUAAUGAAGGUGGGGUUCUGUGACGCCUUUGUCUGGUCGUUGAACACAAACGAAGUACGCAAAGUUGCAGCUAUGGCGAACUUUUAAUCUAAACAAAACCCAAGGAAAAAGCUACUAGAUGGAUCUACUUAUAUAGGAGCAAGGGGUGGCGGUCAAGGAGGUGGAAGGACGUCCCAAGGCAGCCUAAAACCAACCCUAGGUCGUACAAGGCUCAUGGGCCCAAGUGGAGGUGAUGCAACACCUUUGGACUUGUUGUUUGACUCGGAUUCUGCUGCACCGUCAGAUUGUUUCGUCCAUAUCUCAACGCUCCGGACGAAUUUAAAGGUGAAUCCAAUUGGGUUGGAAAGAGAACGAAAUCUACUUUCCAACAAAAAAAGAAUCACCCAAUUCGGAGUCCGUAUGAAAAAGUUAUUGGCGUUUUGAGUCAGGUAUGUCUGUGCAGUCCGAAUCUGAAUCCAGAACGUGAGAGACUUGGACUCUAUCUUCUCUUGGCCCAAAAGUGACGUGAGAGGGCUUUUUGAACAGAACCUAAACUUCUCCUUUCCCCCUAUCUUCAUAUGUGGAUUGUACAAAUGUCCCAUACACCUGCAAUUAGACAAAACACAAAAGUGUGUGAAGUAUUUUUGUUCUGGAUAAUAUAAAUAGAUUAUUGAAUAAUUUGCACUCGAAAUCACCUCACAAAUAUGCUUGUAUGCAAUAUUUUUGGUCAUAUCCAAGGUAGUCAUGUCCUCAUCAUUAAAGAAGAGUUGUAUAUGAUGCAACCAGAAGGUUUUGUCGAUCCUAAAGGUGCUAACAAAGUGUGCAAAGCUCCAGUGAUCCAUUUAUGGACUGGUGCAAGCAUCUCGGAGUUGGAAUAUACACUUUGAUGAGUUGAUCAAAGCAUAUAGUUUUAUACAGACUUGCUGUGAAGCCUGUAUUUACAAGAAAGUGAGUGGGAGCACUACAGCCUUUCUGAUAAGUAUAUGUGAAUGACAUAUUGUUGAUUGGAAAUGAUGUAAAUUUUUUUGGAAAGCAUAAAGGAGGUUUUGAAAGGAGUUUUUCAAAGAAAGACCUCGGUGAAGCUGAUUACAUAUUGAGCAUCAAGAUCUAUAGAGAUAGAUCAAGACGCUUGAUAAGUUUUUUUCAAUGAGUACAUACCUUGACAAGUUUUUGAAGUAGUUCAAAAUGGAACAGUCAAAGAAGGAGUUCUUGCCUGUGUUGCAAGGUGUGAAGUUGAGUAAGACUCAAAGCCCGACCUCGGCAGAAGAUAGAGAGAGAAUGAAAGUCAUUCCCUAUGCCUCAGCCAUAGGUUCUAUAAAGUAUGUCAUGCUAUGUACCAGACCUAUUGUAUACCCUGCCCUGAGUUUGGCAAGGGAGUACAAUAGUGAUCUAGGAGUAGAUCACUGGACAGCGGUCAAAAUUAUCCUUAGAAGACUAAGGAAAUAUUUAUCAGUUAUGGAGGUGAUAAAGAGUUCGUCGUAAAGAGUUACAUCGAUGCAAGCUUUGACGCCGAUCUGGAUGACUCUGAGUCUCGAUCUGGAUACAUAUUGAAAGUGGGAGCAUUUAGCUAGAGUAGCUCCGUGCAGAGCAUUGUAGACAUAGCAAUUUGCAAAAUACAUACAGAUCUGAAUGUGGCAGACGCAUUGACUAAACCCCUCUCACAAGCAAAACAUGAUCACACCUUAGUACUCUUUGGGUGUUAAUCACAUGACGACAUGAACUGGAUUACUGACUCUAGUAAACCCUUUGCGUGUUGGUCACAUAGCGAUGUGAACUAUUGGUGUUAAAUCACAUGGCGAUGUGAACUAGAUUAUUGACUCUAGUGCAAUUGGGAGACUGAAGGAAAUAUGCCCUAGAGGCAAUAAUAAAGUUGUUAUUUUUAUAUUUCCUUAUAUCUUGAUAAAAGUUUAUUAUUCAUGCUAGAAUUGUAUUAACCGAAAACUUGAUACAUGUGUGAAUACAUAGACAAAACAAAGUGUCCCUAGUAUGCCUCUACUUAACUAGCUCGUUAAUCAAAGAUGAUUAAGUUUCCUAACCAUAAACAUGUGUUAUCAUUUGAUGAACGGGAUCACAUCAUUAGAGAAUGAUGUGAUGGACAAGACCAAUCCGUUAGCUUAGCAUUAUGACCGUUUAGUUUUAUUGCUAUUGCUUUCUUCAUGACUUAUACAUGUUCCUCUGACUAUGAGAUUAUGCAACUCCCGAAUAUCGGAGGAACACCUUGUGUGCUAUCAAACAUCACAACGUAACUGGGUGAUUAUAAAGAUGCUCUACAGGUGUCUCCGAUGGUGUUUGUUGGGUUGGAAUAGAUCAAGAUUAGGAUUUGUCACUCCGAGUAUCGAAGAGGUAUUUCUGGGCCCUCUCGGUAAUGCACAUCAGUAUAAGCCUUGCAAGCAAUGUGACUAAUGAGUUAGUUAUGGGAUGAUGCAUUACGGAACGAGUAAAGAGACUUGCCGGUAACGAGAUUGAACUAGGUAUGAGGAUACCGAUGAUCGAAUCUUGGGCAAGUAACAUACCGAUGACAAAGGGAACAACGUAUGUUGUUAUGCGGUUUGACCGAUAAAGAUCUUAAUAGAAUAUGUAGGAGCCAAUAUGAGCAUCCAGGUUCCGCUAUUGGUUAUUGACCGGAGAUGUGUCUCGGUCAUGUGCAUAGUUCUCGAACCCGUAGGGUCCGCACGCUUAACGUUCGAUGACGAUUUGUAUUAUGAGUUAUGUGAUUUGAUGACCGAAGUUUGUUUGGAGUCCCGGAUGAGAUCAUCGACAUGACGAGGAGUCUCGAAAUGGUUGAGAGGUAAAGAUUCAUAUAUAGGACGAUGGUAUUUGGACACCGGAAGUGUUCCGAGUGAUACCGGGUCACCGGAAGUGGUUCCGGGCUACCCCCGGCAAAGAUAUGGGCUUAACGGGCCAACUGGAACACACGAGCCCACAAGGGUCUAGUGCGCGAUAGGGCCAGCCACGUGGGGAGAAAGGGAAAGGAGAGGAGGAAAAGGGAAGUAUGAAGUAGGACUCCUACUUCCUUCCCCUCCCCCCUCCUUCCUUUCCCCCUUGUCCAAAUAUGGUGGGGGGCGAAUUGGACUAGGGGCCCAAGUAGGAUUCCUCCUACUUGGGCGCGCCCUAGGCUGCCUCCCUCCCUCUCCCUUCUUUAUAUACGUGGGGAGGGCACCCCUAGAACGCACAUCAAUUGUUCCUAGCCGUGUGCGGUGCCCCCUCCAUAGUUACACACCUCGGUCGUAUCGUUGUAGUGCUUAGGCGAAGGCCUGCGCGGGUAACUUCAUCAUCACCGUUGCCACGCCGUCGUGCUGACAGAACUCUCCCUCGGCCUCAACUAGAUUAAGAGCUCGAUGGACGUCAUCGAGUUGAACGCUGAACAGGGAGGUGCCGUAUGUUCGGUGCUUGGAUCAGUUGGAUCGUGAAGACGUUCGACUACAUCAACCGCGUUACUAAACCCUUCCGCUUUCGGUCUACGAGGGUACGUGGACACAAUCUCCCCGCUCGUUGCUAUGCUUCUCCUAGAUAGAUCUUGCGUGAUCGUAGGAAUUUUUUUGAAAUACUACGUUCUCCAACAUGCUCAUCGCAACCCGCCGUCGUUGGUGUGGUGCCACUGCUGCAAAUCACGGAGAGUCAUCCGUUGCGUCUCAGCCACAAUCCUCAACUCUGGCCGAGUCUUCUACAAAUGCCCGAAUCUUGGGGUAAUAAUAUGUUUAAGUGUUGUUCCGCUGCUUUCAGUUGUUGAUUCUUUAAUAGUUUGGUUGAUGAUCUUCCAAUUUGAUUCGUGCAGAAAAGGGAAGAUUCAAGUGAUUUGUAUUUCCGGGAAGUUGCUGAUGUGGGGGAAUGCAACUACGCUGAUUAUUUGGUUAGCCGAGGAAUCCCAAUACCAACAGGUUGGGGUGUUGGAAAAGUAACUGAAGGAACAACAGAAGAGGAAGAUGCAGAACAGAAGGUUAAAGAUGCAGUUCCUCUGAUCAUGGCCAAGCAACAACUGCUGAACGACCUUGACAAUAAUGAGGAGAUGAAAGAGCUUGUGAAGACAAUGGGCAAAAUCGAUGUGCUCUGUAGGAUGAUUGUCUCUUUAUUUGAAGUGUAUGUAGCACUCGUGAUGUAUUCAGUGGCUAUGACAUGAGCACUUUGCUGAAACUAGUAAUGAAUGAAACCUGUUUAGCAGGUUGGGCAUAGUGUUGUGAACAUCUAAUGAUUUCUAUUAACGGAAAUCGGGGGGGGUAUCCCCUUUUGCUCAUAAAUAAAUAAAUAGCAAAGACCCUUUUGCUAAGAAAUAAAUAAAUUAGCAGAGGCCCUGUCGGGUCAGCUUUGUUCCCAUUCGAAGACGUCGAGCAAAUUGCAGUCCAACAACAAACUAUGCCAUCAAAUUUAAGUUUCAUAGGCAAAUAUGAGUACAACUCAACAACAAUGUCAUCAUGUUUUAGUCAUACAAUCACCAAACACAAAUCAACAUACAUAAUAAGUGAUGUUCUCACAGCAAAAUACUAAGCAACAAGUUCAUCAGGUUUCGGUUGUCAUAGCAAACACAAUUUCACAUAGUAGAUAAAAAAACGUCUUCUGACAGGCAAAUACGACAAAAGCAAUCUAAUCAUCAUCUGCAGCAGCAGCAUCAGCAUCAACAUCUUUGCCAUGUGUAUCAGUCUGAAUCGUAAUUCCCCACAGUGUCAUCUUCUUCUUCAUCCUCAAUGUCCUCGAACGUUGGCUUCUUCUUGAUCAACUCUUGUAUGUCCACAGCCCGUUAGGCAAUCUUUUUGCCAGCGUCAUUGACGUGAUGGUUCUCAAAGAUAUUAGGAACAUCUGUGGAAUCUUGUACAUCAGGAGCAGUGUAAGCAUCAUCUUGUUGUGCAACUUCAUUAAACGAAUUCCUCUGCUCAAACCUUUGCAAUACUCUCCAGUCAUCGCUAUGUGCAAAUGUGUCUUCCAAGAAAAAUAUCUGUGUUGCUUGAUUUGCCAAAAUAAAUGGCCCACUGGUCUGGUACGCCGCCUUGACAUUGAUGGAUUUGAAAUAAUCAUCAGCUCUGGGUUUUGCGAUCCUGGAAAACAGGUUAUACCAACGACACCACAACAGAGCCACACACCGAUGAACCUCGAAACUGGAGAUAUACUGCAACUGAACAAUGUCUGUUAUGUUAGCAUACAUUUCAGUUGUCACUUCGCCAUACUUAUCCAUGCUCAUGAUGGCACUAUUUUGUGUCUUCCUGCCUUCCUCGCGUGCAAGGGUGUUGUAGUGCACAUCUCCAACAACGCAAGAUUCAUAAUGUCUUACCCGAGUAUCAGGACCCAUUGCUAGUGCAUAAAGGGCAUCAUCAACUGCCUGCCCAUCCUCCCGCAUCUUCUUAACCUAUGUUAGAAAAUAGACAAGCUGAUCAUCUUAUGUAGUCAAUAUAUUAAAAAAACUGACAGUGCAAUUCAAAAGCUUAGAUGGCUCUUGAACCAUUUCGCAAAUCCUGCCAUAACCAGUUUGUCAAUGUUUCUUGGAUUCUGCGGCAGUAACUCCUUUUUGUAGAUGCUGCACAACAUAGUGAUCGCGUCAAACAUCUAAAUAUAUAAUAAUGUGCUACAAGUUUAGUAGACUACGAUGUAUAAGCUGCAGUACUUAGCACUUACUUGAUAGAAGGUAGUAUCUCAGGGCAGUUAUUCAAUAAAUACCAAACCAUUUGUCCAAAUCUUUAAGUUUGUCGUCUUGUCGACUCUUCCCUAUAACUCGAACAGAACAAUCGAAAACAUUGAGCCCGAGAUUGUCUUCACCCACCUCUUUGCUAAGUUGAUCAGCUGUUUCAAUGUAUUUUGAGCAGAAUGUCAACGCUUCUGUAGCAAUGUAGGCCUCUGCAAUGGAACCCUCGGGUCUAGCUCUGUUCCAAACAUAACCCUUGAAAGUGCCUAGCCGCCUUUCAAUAGGGUGCAUCCAGCCAUACUGUACUGGACCUCUAAGUAGUGCCUCAUCAGGUAGAUGAACAACCAAAUGCACCAUCACAUCAAAGAAGGCUGGAGGAUAUAUCUUCUCAAGGUCGCAUAGGAUAGUUGGUAUCUUGUCUCUAAGACGCUCUAAAGCAUCUAUCCUGAUAUUUCUACUGCAGAGUUCCGUGAAGAAUUGUCCCAACUCUGCAACUGCUCUGUAUAAGUGAGGGCGGCCCAAUCCUCUAAGGAUAACAGGUAAAACCCUUUGGAGUAGGACGUGGCAGUCAUGAGUUUUCAACCCUUGUACUUUGUUUCCAUCUGCACUGACUCUCCUUUCAGGGUUGGAAGCAAAUCCUUGUGGGAAUCUCACACUUGACAGGACCUUGCAGAAUUCUUUUCUUUUUACCUUGUCCAAGACGUACACAACUGGUGCCAUAUCCUGUCGUUUGCCUUCAUCUUGCACCUGCAAAUCCUGUCUGAUACCCAGGUGUGUCAAAUCAAUCCUAGAUUUUAAGGUAUCUUUCGUCUUGCCUUCAAUAUUAAGAAGUGUGCCAAUAAUGCUGUCACAUAUUUUUUUUCUCGAUGUGCAUCACAUCAAGAUUAUGCCGCAGAUCCAAAACUUUGCAAUACUCCAAGUCCCACAAAGUGGACCUGCGGGUAAACAAUAAUCUCUCUUCUGCCCUGCCACGCUUCCUUUUCCCGCUACCAUUAUCAGGAUGGUUUCCUGGUGUAAUAUGCCUGACCUUCUCUAAUUCCACUUGCAACUCAUCGGCGGUGAGCCUCUUUGGCGCAUCACGGUUUUCAUGCUUUGCAUUGAACACAUAUCUUCAGUAUUUUGUAGGACGCAGCUUGUCCUUGGCAAGGAAACAUCGGUGUCCAAUGUAACAUAUCUUGCUAAGUAUUGUGUAUGACAACGGAUUCGUGUCACAGCGAACACAUGCAUUGUAACCAUGUGUCAUUCGCCCUGACAUAGUGCCCAAAGCCGGAUAAUCAUGGAUGCACCAAAUUAUAACAACACGUAGAAAGAAAUCAGCUGGUGGGCUGCUAUAUAGAUCUCAAGUGAGAACACCCCUCCAUAGAUGUUGAAGUUCCUCCACAAGAGGCUCCAUGAAUAAAUCAAAAUCCUUUCCAGGACUUUUUGGACCUGGGAUGAGCAAGGCCAUCAUGUAGUUUCAUUCUUUGGUGAAGACAUUUGGAGGCAUGUUGUAAGGGAUAACAAGCACUGGCCACAUGCUAUAUGUGGCGCUCUGGUGGCCAAAUGGGUUAAAUCCAUCUGAAGCUAAGCCAAGUCUAAUGUUUCUCGGGUCAGCAGCAAACUUUUUGUGUUUUUGAUUGAAGCUUUUCCAGUCACUACCAUGAGAUGGAUGGCUCAUUACAUUCUGAUCUCUGUACUCCUGGUUCCUAGAAUGCCACAGUACAUCCUCUCUUAUUUCAGCAUCAUGAAACAACCUCUGCAAUCUUGGUAUAAUCGGAAAAUGUCUGAACAUUAUGAGGAAUCCUCUUCACAGCAUCGCCAUCUUUCCAUCUUGAUGAUUUGCAUUUUGGGCAUUCACUUAAGUUGGCAUAAUCCUUCUGGAACAGAACACAAUAUUCUUACAAACAUGGAUCAUAUCAUAUCCAAUUCCAACUGCAUGAAGGAAAUUCUUCAUUUUACUGUAGGUGUGUGGCAGCUCAGAUGCAUCUGGGAAAGAUUUGCGGAAAGCAGCCAACAUCGCAUCGAAUGAUUUGUUGGUCAUCCGCUCAGAUGUCUUCACCUGAAGAAAGGUGACCAUAGCUGAAAAUACUGGUAGCUUAUUUCCUGGGGUGACAGCCACGUUGCAUUGUUCCAACAUGCGGGCCCAUCGUUUUUCUUCUGCAGGUGAAAGUUCACGAAAUGCACGAGCAUUUCAUAGCAUUGUUUCAAUAAUGGUCAAACUCACUGGCUCCGCCACCACCACCUCCUCCUCCUCUUCCACUUGAGCAUCAGGCAGAUCAAGAUGGUGAUCUGCUGCUUCCACAUAGUCAGUAACAUUGACGUUCACAGCUUCACCAUGAUGAACCCACCUAGUAUAUGUGACCGACAUCCCAUACAAGUGUAGAUGAUUUUGCACAGUUGAUUGGGGUCUUGUAACUGAAUUCAUACAACUGCUACACGGGCAGAGCACAUCUGACUUCGGACCACCGUACUCAGCUCUGAUAAAGUUCAUGAAGUUUUCAACCCCCUCGACAUAUGCAGCGGAGAAUCUUUGAGCAGAAGUUAUCCAAGUCCUGUCCAUCUGUUAGACAUACAAAUUAGUUCUUCUACUAGAUAUUACAGGAGAAACAUAUAUGCUUUUUUACGAAGUCCAGAAAAAAUAUCUAGGUCGAUGUCUAAAGCUAUGGCAAGGUAUUUGGACAAGCAGAUCUAAGUAACGAAAUAUAUGUAAAGCUAAUUCAGCAAACAGAUUUGAGUGCUAAAUUAUGGCGGGCUGUUUUAGCAGUCAAUGAGGCCGAGCACACAGCCAUCGAAGGCCAUCUCAGCAACAAAGAUCGAGUAUAAAAUGGUGUAGAGCUAUUUCACCUAACAGAUUGGCUACUAGACCAUGGCAAUCUAUGUCACAAUAAAUAUAUGGAAGGAUAUUUUAGCAACUAAUCGGGCUUGGCAUGCCAUCUCAGCUAAGCAGAUUGAGUGCAGAACAGGGCAAGGAAGCUUCUUACGUAGAGCAUAUUGACUGUAAACUACUUCAACAAAUAGUGAGACUAACAAUGUCUAUCAGCUAACAUUCAGCGCCACACCGACAUGCAUGGGGCCUCAGUCUAGAAUGCGCGUAUCAUGGGAGAAGCUGACCACCGUGCGUCUCCACACGAACAUCGCCAGCGGUGGCGGCGCUGACCACCGUGCGUCUCCACAAGAACGUCGCCAGCGGUGGCGACGCGGCUAGAGGACGACAGUCUACGAGAGCGUACUGUGGGAGCGAGAGGAUCGCCGUGCGUCCCCUCGAUGAACCGCGGCACCGACGUAUCGGCGCGGCGGGGAGGGCGGCUUUGGCGGAGCGAAUAGAGUGGAGGGGGCCGGGGGGNNNNNNNNNNNNNNNNNNNNNNNNNNNNNNNNNNNNNNNNNNNNNNNNNNNNNNNNNNNNNNNNNNNNNNNNNNNNNNNNNNNNNNNNNNNNNNNNNNNNNNNNNNNNNNNNNNNNNNNNNNNNNNNNNNNNNNNNNNNNNNNNNNNNNNNNNNNNNNNNNNNNNNNNNNNNNNNNNNNNNNNNNNNNNNNNNNNNNNNNNNNNNNNNNNNNNNNNNNNNNNNNNNNNNNNNNNNNNNNNNNNNNNNNNNNNNNNNNNNNNNNNNNNNNNNNNNNNNNNNNNNNNNNNNNNNNNNNNNNNNNNNNNNNNNNNNNNNNNNNNNNNNNNNNNNNNNNNNNNNNNNNNNNNNGGGGGAGUUUGGCGCAUGGUCGAUUUCUCCAAGUGCAGUCCCGCAUGUCAGUGAAGAGGCAAGCCGAAGCGCGUUCCAUUUGUGUGAGUCCUGUGCAGGACCGACCGUGUGUGGGGUGUAAUGCGACUGCGACAGGCGUGCUGUGAGUGUACCGCCUUUUUCCUUUUUAAACUUGGUGCUUCGCCCCCUCAAAAAAAAACUUGGCGCUUCGCGCGAUCCAUCUAUACUACUACUAGUAAUCCCGACUAAAACGGCGCGGUCGGGUCUUUUCCUGCGUGAUAUGCCGGGAGGUUGGCUUAGUUGGUUUUUUAGGACGAGUAAUGCUACACCUACGUAAUCCCAGUUACGCAAUUAACGUAAUGUGAAACGUGUGAGCUGUUGAUUGUAGAUUGGGGGGAGGGAGGGGCCCACCACCAUGAAAAUCAGGGGGGAGAGAGAGAGGCAAUUUACGUUAACCCUUUCGUAGGUUCCCAUAGAUGUAGAAAUAUGUGAAAUGCGUGAAUGUGUAGUGGACGUACUAUUGGAGUGCCUAAGAGCAUGGUUAAUAAUAUAGCCAGCUGAUGGCUAUGAGGAACCUCCAUGUCAUCUAUGGCCAUCAUCUAUAUGCACUCAUACAAUAAUGUGGGCUAUAAGGUUGGCUAUUAUAUUAGUACUUUUUUCCAUUUUCUCUCUAUCUCUUUCUUCAUAUGAUAGAGGCAAAGGUGUCCCGUCUUUCGAUGAGAUGGUGGCUAUCGUUUUUGAGGAAGUCGACUUUGACGAUCCGACUACGAACGUGCGAGGACGUCGCGCCUUAGCAAUCGCUAAACCAACUCCGAGAGGUUAUUGACCACGCCGGAGCACGAUCAACCUGACCACGAAGGUGUGUUUCCUGCAGGCAAACGAAGAACAAGCAAGAAACUAAGAUUGCAAUCUGGAUAUUGCGAAUAUAAGGCAAUUUCAAAACAGCCCUAAGCAUAGUAGGAAACCAUACACAAUUUCAAAAGGGCACAUCUUAGUAGUAGAAUGCAAUGAACGAUUAUAAGCAAACUCAAUAUGAGGCAAGCAUUCUUCCCACAUUUUCUUAUUAUUCUUCAAAACAGCCCUAAGCAUAGUACACAAUGUUCUAUUGACUACUUCAGUUUGACCAUCGGUUUGGGGGUGACAAGUAGUACUAAAAAGCAGUUUAGUCCCCAACUUAGCCCAUAAACAUCUCCAAAAGUGGCUAAGAAAUUUAGUAUCACGAUCUGAAACAAUAGUAUUUGGCACACCAUGCAAACGAAUAAUUUCACGGAAGAACAAAUCAGCAACAUUAACAGCAUCAUCGCUUUUAUGACAUGGUAUAAAGUGUGCCAUUUUUGAGAAUCUAUCCACGACAACAAAUAUGCUAUCCCUCCCCUUCUUUGUUUGAGGUAAACCUAAAACAAAGUCCAUAGAUAUAUCCUCCCAAGGAACACUAGGUACAGGCAAAGGCAUAUCUAAACCAUGAGGAUUGAGUCGUGACUUAGCUUUUUGACAUGUAGUGCAGCGAGCAACAAAACGCUCAACAUCCCGUCUCAUCUUUGGCCAAAAGAAAUGUGUAGCAAGUACGUCCUCCGUCUUCUUCACGCCAAAGUGUCCCAUUAAUCAUCCUCCAUGCGCCUCCUGCAACCACAAAAGACGAAGAGAGCUAGCUGGAAUGCAUAGCUUGUUAGCACGGAACACAAAUCCAUCAUUAACGACAAACUUGUUCCAGGUUCUUCCUUCUUUACAAUUCUGCAAAACAUCUAUAAAAUCAGCAUCAUGCACAUAUUGAUCUUUGAUGGUCUCCAAACCAAAUAUUUUGAAGUCAAGUUGUGAAAGCAUAGUAUAGCGACGAGACAAUGCAUCAGCAAUAACAUUUUCUUUACCCUUCUUGUGUUUAAUGACAUAAGGGAAAGUUUCAAUGAAUUCAACCCAUUUAGCAUGUCUAUGAUUCAGUUUAGCUUGACUUUUAAUAUGUUUCAAAGAUUCAUGAUCAGAAUGUAUAUAACAAAUUCUUUGGGCCAUAAAUAAUGUUGCCAUGUUUCUAAAGUCCGAACAAGAGCAUAUAGUUCUUUAUCAUAAGUAGAAUAAUUCAGACUAGGCCCACUCAAUUUUUCAGAAAAGUAUGCAACAGGUUUACCAUCUUGUAAUAACGCACCUCCUAAUCCAAUUCCACUAGCAUCACAUUCAAGCUCAAAAGUCUUAUUAAAAUCAGGAAGUUGGAGUAAAGGAGCAUGUGUCAACUUAUCUUUCAAUACCGUGAAGGCUUCUUCCUGUGCGGUACCCCAAACAAAAGGCACAUCCUUCUUUGUUAGCGCAUUGAGAGGUGCAGCAAUGAUGCUAAAAUCUCUCACAAAACGCCUAUAGAAACCAGCGAGUCCAAGAAAACUCCGCACUUGUGUGACCGUUUUGGGCUGCGGCCAACUCUCAAUAGCUUCAAUCUUGGCUUUAUCAACUUCAAUUCCGUGUGGAGUAACAACAUAGCCAAGAAAAGAUACUCGGUCGGUGCAAAAGGUGCACUUCCCAAGGUUACCAAAGAAACGUGCAUCACGUAGAGCAAUAAAAAUAGCACGUAAAUGUUCCAAAUGUUCUUCCAAAGAUUUGCUAUAAAUCAGUAUAUCAUCAAAAUAGACUACCACAAAUCGUCCAAUGAAAGCACGUAAAACUUCGUUCAUUAGUCUCAUGAAAGUACUAGGUGCAUUAGUUAACCCAAAAGGCAUGACUAACCACUCAUAUAAACCAAACUUAGUUUUAAAUGCAGUUUUCCAUUCAUCUCCCAAUUUCAUACGAAUUUGAUGGUAUCCACUACGCAAAUCAACUUUGGAGAAUAGUGUAGAGCCACUCAAUUCAUCAAGCAUAUCCUCUAGCCUAGGAAUAGGAUGACGAUAACGAAUAGUAAUAUUAUUAAUGCCUCUACAAUCAACACACAUACGUGACGUACCAUCCUUUUUAGGCACUAGUAUAAUAGGAACAGCACAAGGACUAAGAGAUUCGCGUAUAUAACCUUUGUCGAGCAGCUCCUGUACUUGACGCAUAAUCUCCUUCGUCUCCUCUGGAUUGGUACGGUAUGGUGCACGGUUGGGUAGCGAUGCACCGGGAAUUAAAUCAAUUUGAUGCUCAAUCCCUCGAAUAGGUGGUAAUCCCGGUGGCACGUCUUGUGGGAAGACGUCAGCGAAGUCCUGCAAAAUGUUAGUGACAGCAGGGGGCAAAGAGGAAGGCACGUCCUCGAAUGAAAAUAAUGCCUCUUUGCACACAAAAGCAUAUCAAACAGAUUUGUUGAAAUCUAGCUCAUCAAUAUCAGAUUUUGUGGCAAGUAAACAUGCACUUUUCAAUUUAAUUUCAGAAACAACACUAGAUGGUUUAUUAUUAGGUUUCAUUUGUUGCUGAAAUUCUUUUGCCACAAUCUGAUUUUCACUCUUAUUUUUCUCCUGUUUUGCUUUAUUAGCUCUAUUAAUGUCAUCUUUGAAAAUGGAAUCAGGAGUCAUAGGAAGCAAAGUAAUAUUUUUAUCGUUAUGAACAAGAGUAUACUGAUUGUUUCUACCAUGGUGUACAGAAUUUUUAUCAAAUUGCCAUGGUCUACCAAGUAAUAAGGAACAUGCUUGCAUGGGUACCACAUCACAAUCAACAUAAUCAGCAUAUGUAGAGAUACUAAAAUGCACACGAACAGUACGUGUUACCUUAACCUUGCCACUGUUGUUGAACCAUUGGAUGUAGUAAGGAUGUGGAUGUGGUCUUGUGGUGAGAGAUAGUUUCUCCACCAUCUCCAUGCUAGCCAAGUUGUUACAGCUCCCUCCAUCCAUGAUGACGCGAACAGAACGUUCCUUCAGAACUCCCUUUGUAUGGAACAAAUUAUGCCUCUGAUUUUGCUCUGCUUGUGUGACCUGCACACUCAAAACACGUUGAGCAACUAAACAUUCAUACCUGUCAGCGUCUUCAGGAGCCAUGUAUUGCGUCUCAUUUUCAGAAUCAUCUCCACCAUGUUCUUCACGUGUAAUAAGAGCCAAAGUCUCCUCAUCAUAGUCACUAGCGGACUCAUACCCACCAUCCUCAGUAGCAAUCAUCACACGCUGAGAUUUGCAUUCUCUCGCAUAAUGUCCUCUUCCCUUACAACGACGACAAAUAAUAUCACUUGUGUGCCCUGUUGACGCCAUGGAAGAACAAGAGCUCUGCGCAGGCCCGGCAGGUGUGCUCUUGGCAGAGAGUGGUGGUUGUGCCUGCUUUCUUGUAUCACGGCUGGAGGUGGCACCUGAUGGAGGUGAUGGUGAAGUGGAAGUAGAGGAUGCACGUGGUGUCCAUGAUGAAGGUCGACCUGCAGAAAAGUUUGUUCGCGCCAAUGCCUGUCGAUCCUGCACUUCACGUUCAGCUUUACAAGCAAGAUGGAAUAAACGAGUGAUAUUAUUAUAAUCCUUAUACUCUAGAAUGGUCUGAAUCUCUUUAUUUAAUCCACCCAUAAAACGUGCAAGCAUAGCUUCAUUCUCCUCAACAAUACCACAUCGAAUCAUGCCAGUUUGUAAUUCCUGAUAAUAUUCUUCUACAGAGUUUUUCCCUUGUCUUAAGCGGUGCAAUUUUUGAAGUAAUUCACGUUGAUAAUAUGGUGGAACCCAACGAGUAUGCAUAGCAGUUUUCAAAGCAGCCCAAGUAGCUAGAACAGGAUAUAAUCUACAAUGUUCAGACCACCAAACACAUGCAAAGCUAGUGAAAGCACAAACAGCAGCAGGAACACGUCUCUCCUCAGGAUAUUGUAAACAUGUAAAUCGUUGUUCAGUUUCUAACUCCCAAGUAAGAUAUAUAUCAGGAACAUAUCUACCCUCAAAUGGUGGAAUAUUCAAUUUCAGUUUAGGGAGAUGGUCAUGAUCUCGUACCUGAGGUGGUGGUGCCGGCCUACCGUUGCGAAUAUAUACCUGAGGUCGACCUGCUGGUGGUGGUGCUGGUGGCUGCACGUAGUUCUGAUUUUGAUCAACCUCAUCCUCAUAAUCGCCCGCAUAAUCGUCAUCCUCCUCAGCCGCCGCAGUAGCAGGAGCCAAAGAAGCAUCAACAGUAGGUGCAGCGGCACCCGAAUUUUGACCAGUCUCAAUUGGAACGUGUUGUGCUCGUCCCACUUGAUUUGGAAGACGGCGUUGGAGAUGUGGUUGUUGUUGUUGUAGAGGUGCGACAUAUGAAGCCGGUGGUGGUUGGGGAAGACGCUUGAGUAAUUCAGUAAACUUGUUAUCCAGCUUUGUCUCGAACGACUUCUCCACGGCAUCUAUCUUCUCCAUAGCCUCUUCAAAUCUGUUUAGCACAUCUCCCACCUGGCCACUCAUCAUUUGCUGAAAUUUAUCAUGCAACUCCUUGUUCGUCAUGUUCUCCCAAUCAGUCUCAUCGGCUUGUGAUCCUGCCAUGGUUAGCAGCAAUAGAAACAAUAAAGAAUAUGAUCCUACAAACUACUAGGAAGUGGUGGUGAUGGUGGUGUGUCACAAAUCCUUCAAGCGAAUCUCAAAUUCUUACCAGUUCUUACCCAGCAACAGGUGGUGAUCGGCAACCGUUGUAGUCAAAACUCUUAAAGCUUGGAUAGAGCGAUUACCAGGGAGAGUCAAACGCACGAUGUAGAUGUAUGUGGAGCUGGGAAGGCUUAUAAUAUGGUAGCAAAAAUGGUCAGCAAUAAUCAAUUCAGAGAUGCAAAGUUGAAUAAACGCUCAACGACGGUACUGUGCUGGUCCUAGGCUAGACCGUGCUAGAGACGCGAGCCUAUAACACUAACAAAAUCACGGCGCUGCACGUAAACAAGGGAAAAGCACACUCUGGAAUUUUUUUUUGCUCUUUUUUUUCCGCGCUCUUUUUCUUUUGCGCUCUUUUUUUUUUGCGAAAAAUCACUAUAAUGGCGAGUGUCUCAAAACUCUUCCCAGGUCAAACUGAUAGGAUAGGCACAAAAUUUUUUGACUAUUUUUUUCUUCAUAAAUCAGGGCAGCGACGACGAAAAAGUGCGACAAAAAAUCACUAUGAUGGCGAGUGUCUCAAAACACUCCCCGGGACCUAAAAAUAGGAUAGGGAGAAAAUAUUUUUGGUCGCCGAAAUUUUGGCCUAAAAACUGCCCGGGGGUCUCCAGACUCUUUUUUUUUCCCGAGAUCUACUCAGGCAAGGAAACACGAAACGGAAAAUAGAUGGAUCUCUAAAACAAACCGAAUAUGAAAAGAACUCGGAUUGGUUGUGGAUAUAUGGUGGUAGGAUAUGGCAGCGGUGGUGGUAUAUGGUAGCGGUGGUGGUAUAUGGAUACGGAUCGGUGGUGGUAUAUGGAUACGGAGGUGGUAUAUGGAUACGGAUUCAAAGCGGUGGCGGAUAAGCAAUGGUGGUAGAUGGCAAGGCGAUGAUGAUGGUGCGGCGGCGGCGUGAGAACUUAUGACCAGAACUCAAAACUCUAAAAGACUAGACUCUAAGACCAGUAACUUGACACGACGAUGCAACCGCAAAUUCAACAAAGCAAAAACCCUAAAAAGAUUAUGCAAAGGCUCAGAUUGGUUCGGAUAUGAUGAACUAACCCUAAUUUUUUUGUGGCUUUUUCGUGGACUGUAGGUAUGAAGAACAGACUCGAUCUAAACUACGAAAAACUGUAAAAUCUCACCGAGCAACCUGGAAAUCUGAUACCACUUGAUAGAGGCAAAGGUGUCCCGUCUUUCGAUGAGAUGAUGGAUAUCGCUUUGGUGGAAGUCGACUUUGACGAUCCGACUACGAACGUGCGAUGACGUCGCGCCUUAGCAAUCGCUAAACCAACUCCGAGAGGUUAUUGACCACGCCGGAGCACGAUCAACCUGACCACGAGGGUCUGUUUCCUGCGAGCAAACGAAGAACAAGCAAGAAACUGAGAUUGCAAUCUGGAUAUUGCGAAUAUAAGAUGAAAGCUUUAUUGAUCAAGCUGGGGUUCUGUGACGCCUUUGUCUGGUCGUUGAACACAAACGAAGUACGCGAAGUUGCAGCUAUGGCGAACUUUUAAUCUAGACAAAACCCAAAGUCUAAACGACGCCAACCUCUCUUAUAAAUGUCCAAACCUCCAAAAAAUAACCUAGAUCGGAAGUUCCGCCGCCGCAAGCCUCUGUAGCCAUGAGAAAUCAAUCUAGGCCCUCUCUGGCACCCUGCCAGAGGGGGCCAUCAUCACCGGAGGCCAUGGAGGAGGAUCCCGGAGGGGCCAUCAUCGCCAUGAAGGCCAAGAUCUAGAGGGAGAACCUCUCCCCAUCCGGGGGGAGGCCAUGGAGGAGGAAACACAAGGGGGGGGGAACCUCUCCUCUCUCUCGUUGGCGCCGGAGUGCCAUCGGGAGGGGAAUCAUCGCCGCAGUGAUCGUCUUCAUCAACAUCACCAUCAUCAUCACCAUCCUCAUCUCUUUUACGCGGUCCACUCUCCCGCACCCCGCUGUAAUCCCUACUUGAACAUGGUGCUUUAUGCCACAUAUUAUGAUCCAAUGAUGUGUUGCCAUCCUAUGCUGUUUUCAGUAGAUAUCCUUUGUCUUUGGGUUGAUUGAUGAUCUAGAUUGGUAUGAGUUGUAUGUUUUAUUUUGGUGCUGUCCUAUUGUGCCCUCCGAGUCGCACAAACGUGAGGGCUUCCCGCUGUAGGGUGUUGCAAUACGUUCAUGAUUCGCUUAUAGUGGGUUGCUUGAGUGAUAGAAGCAUAAACCCGAGUAAGGGGUUGUUGCAUAUGGGAUUGAUAGAGGCAAAGGUGUCCCGUCUUUCGAUGAGAUGAUGGAUAUCGCUUUGGUAGAAGUCGACUUUGACGAUCCGACUACGAACGUGCGAUGACGUCGCGCCUUAGCAAUCGCUAAACCAACUCCGAGAGGUUAUCGACCACGCCGGAGCACGAUCAACCUGACCACGAGGGUCUGUUUCCUGCGAGCAAACGAAGAACAAGCAAGAAACUGAGAUUGCAAUCUGGAUAUUGCGAAUAUAAGAUGAAAGCUUUAUUGAUCAAGGUGGGGUUCUGUGACGCCUUUGUCUGGUCGUUGAACACAAACGAAGUACGCGAAGUUGCAGCUAUGGCGAACUUUUAAUCUAAACAAAACCCAAAGUCUAAACUACGCCCUAAGGGUUGUAUAUAUGGAGGAAGAGGGGGGAAUUUCGUGGCCCUUGGGGAAGGGGUCCGAAACCAACCCUAUCUCUUGUUUCCCCACACAUACGGACUCUAAAAAUAGCCUAUACUCAAGUAUUUCGAAAUUACAUGGGCCUGGCCCAAUAAUAAGGUGACGCAGCACCUAGAAUAGCCUCUGGACGAAAGUUAUGAGGUAGCAUCUUGUAUAUUUCGUCCAAGGCUUCAUGCACGCAUUAUGGUGGCUUCAAUGUCCUGAAAUCAUCACUUGUAACUCCGUUCUUGUCCCCCAUGCGCAUGCCAUCAUCUCCAUGCUUGUUCUUGCUCCAAUGUUCAUCCUUCUCAAAGCUAGGCCCUUCAUUUGUAAGCAAAACAAAUGCAUCCAAUUUAGGCAGCAUCAUAUUCUCAUGAACAUUAGAAUCAUUACCAAGAAACGAAAGUACCUGGUAAUUUAAUUGGCGUGCGCGAGCUCUAGUAAUUGGUCCAGUAUGUAUAGCAGCAGGGGCUGUGGGUGUAACAAUGGUAUGGAUGUCCUCAUCAGGGAUAAAGGGGACUUGAUGCUUUAAUGCUAUGGUUGGGUUUUACCUUAAUGAUCUUUAGUAGUUGCGGAUGCUUGCUAGAGUUCCAAUCAUAAGUGCAUAUGAUCCAAGAAGAGAAAGUAUGUUAGCUUGCCUCUCCCUCAUAUGAAACUGCAAUGAUGACUACGGGUCUUGUUAACAAUUGCCUAGGACAAUUCCGCACACCGAUCCAUCAUUCCACACUCGCUAUUUAUAAUAUUUAGUAAUAUAUUCUAACUUUAUGAUAACAGCACCUACUUUUAUGUUUUAGCUCUCCGAUAUCAUGCAAAGUUAUCCUCUUCAUACCCACAACGUAGUUUUAUUUCUCGUUUCUAGUUGGAAGCAAACGUUUGGUGUACGUAGAGUCAUAUCAGUGGCAGCUAGGACCUGAGAGAAUAUUGAUCUUACCUUUAGCUCCUUGUGGGUUCGACACUCCAUACUUAUAGCUUCCACCAUUGGGAAUUUCUAUGAUGAUUGCCUGCACUUGGGGAUUAUCAAGCUCUUUUCCGGCGCCGUUGCCGGGGAGCAAUAGCGUGGGGUUGAUAUUCUCGUGUGUGCUUGUUUGCUUUCUUCACUAUGUAGAUUUUGUUUUUCCUUUUUGUUUCUGUUUAGUUGUGGGUGAAACAUACAUUUUUUUAAAGAAUGAAAAUACAAAAAAAAUUACUUGCCUCUCAUGCCUAAAAAGUUAUUUUCAAUAAUAGAAGUGAUUGGAAGGUUAUGCAUUGGAGAAGUGAGGGUCGACCUUGAACACUUGUGUUCAUGCUCAUGGAAACAAUGUAAAAAAAUUCAUGGAAGAAUCUCUGAAAAUAAUUAUCCCCUUGUAUAUAUCCAUUGUAUUAUAAAAAUAAUGUGCCCAGCUUUGAUUUGAGGAUGUGAUAGAGGCGAGGGUGUCCCAUUCUUUCGAUGAGAUGAUAACUAUCGAUUUGGUGGAGUCGACUUUGACGAUCCGACUACAAACGUGCACGAUGUUGCGCCUUAGCAAUCGCUAAACCAAUCUCCUGAGGUUACUGACGAUGCCGGAAGCACGAUCAGCCUGACCACGAAGGUCUAUUCCUGCACGCAAUCGAAGAACAAUCAAGAAUAUGAUAAUGCAAUCUGAAUAUUGCGAAUAUAGAUGAAGUACUGAUAAAGGUGGGGAUCCGAAAGUGGUCUUGGUCUGGUCGUUGGACACAAACGAAGUACACGAAGUUGCAAUGGCUAACUUUUAACUAAACAAAUCCCGAGGAAAAAGCUACUAGAUGGAUCUACUUAUAUAGGAGCAAGGGGUGGCGGCCAAGGAGGUGGGAGGACGUCCCAAGGCAGCCUAAAACCAACUCUGGGUCGUACAAGGCUCAUGGGCCCAAGUGGAGGUGAUGCAACACCUUUGGACUUGUUGUUUGACUCGGAUUCUGCUGCAGCGUCAGAUUGUUUCGUCCAUAUCUCAACGCUCCGGACGAAUUUAAAUGUGAAUCCAACUGGGUUGGAAAGAGGACGAAAUCUACUUUCCAAGAAAAAAAGAAUCACCCAAUUCGGAGUCCGUAUGAAAAAGUUGUUGGCGUUUUGAGUCAGGUAUGUCUGUGCAGUCCGAAUUUGAAUCCAGAACGUGGGAGACUUGAACUCUAUCUUCUCUUGGCCCAAAGGUGACGUGAGAGGACUUUUUGAACAUAACCUAAACUUCUCCUUUUGUCUUAUCUUCAUAUGUGGAUUGUACAAAUGUCCCAUACACCUACAAUUAGACAAAACACAAAAGUGUGUGAAGUAUUUUUGUUCUGGAUAACUUAAAUAGAUUAUUGAAUAGUUUGCACUAGAAAUCACCUGACAAAUAUGCAUGUAUGCAAUAUUUUUGGUCGUAUCCAAGGUAGUUAUGUCCUCAUCAUCCUCCCCUUCUUGAAAACAAAGCCGUCCUCGGCGUUGCUUAAUCUGAAAUCUGGCUAACACAAGAGACAAGGUGUACACGUUGUAUAUGUAUAUGUCAUCCGUUUUUACUGAUCUCAUUUGGUGCACAUGUGACACAGUUAUACAAAAGCACCCUUCAAAAGUCGUGAAUUAUAAAGUCAAUAUAUUAUCACAAGAAGUCAAAGGCAUGAAAAUAUUGCAACUAAGUUUGCACAUAUAAGUGAAGCUCUUAUUCAUAUCAAAAGAUUGACAAUGCUUAUCAUUAAACCAUCCCAACAUUGAUGAACCAUCACCAAGAUUAGAGGUCAUAUCAAAAUGAUUAAACAUUGGUACAAUUAUUUUCAAACAUAUUUGAUCCAAAUCUGAUUUAUUCCCUGAUUCACUUGAUUCUUUUGCAUCGAUAGUUAAUUCAAUGAGUUCACUCAUAAUUGUUUGAUCACAUUGCAAAGUCAAAUCAUCAACAUAGUCCCUAAAGUAGCUGGUGUGAUCAAAGUAGUGGGUAACUCACCGCAUGGUGCAUUUAAAUUGACAAGACAUUCAUCAUACUCAUGUGGAGGUGGAAGAUUAGUACCUUUGUCAUUACCUCUUAUGAUCAACUCAGAUGAUGUAGGCACUCUCGGUGAUGAUGUGUCACAUGGUGGAGGUGAUGUAGUACUCACAGCAACGGAUGUGGUUGUCAUAGUAUGCCUAGUAGUGGAAGGGACAACCGUAUCAACUCUUGGAAUGUGCAUCUCGUGCUUGUUCUCCUUGUGGGCAACACGUCAUUUUAUUUCCUGUUCAGCUUUGCAAGCAAGAUGAAACAAAUGGUCCAUAGGAUAACACUCUUCAUGAAUUAGUAUCUCCUGAAUGUCACGAUUUAAUCCUCCCCAAAAUCUAUCCAUAAAAUCUUCUUCACUUUCUGCUAAAGAGGAAUGCAGCAAGGUAGUUUGUAAAGUAUCAUAAUAUUUCGUUAUGGUGUGACUACCUUGUUUUAAAUAUUGCAACUUUGUUAUCAUGUCACGAGUAUAAUAAGCGGGUACGAAUGUAUGUCGCAUGGCAAGUUUCAAAUCAUCCCAAGUAGUAGGUAUAUCAUUAGGGUGCAACCGACAAUAUUCACUCCACCAAACUACAGCAUAACCAGUGAAAGAACCAGCCGCAACCUUAACUUUUUUACGUACAUCAAAAUUAUUGAAAGCAAAUAUAUUAUUUCUGUCAAACUCCCAUUCAAUAUAUAAAGCAGGUCUAAAACGGCCAUUAAAUGGUGGUAUAGAAACAUUAACCUGAUCAUGUGCAUUUGCAUGUUUGUGCACCUCUCGUGACGGUUGUGGUAUUUGCAUAGGUAAUGGCACGUCUCCCCCGAUCGACAAACCCCAUGAAUUGACUCUAGAUCCUGUCAUGAUUAGUAGAAACAAGAAACAAAAUUCAAGAAUAAUGUUCCUAUGAACUACUAGGAUAUGGUGGUAAAGCGCUCACAGUAAAGCAAAUAUCAAUAUCUUACAAGUUCUUACCAAGCAGCAGGUGGUGACAGGCAACCAGCGGUGUCAAAUAACUCUGGAGAUUGUGUAAAGCGAUUGCCAGGGGAACGUACGUAUACACGGUGCAGAAAUAUGUGGAGCUGGGUUGGCUAUAUAUGGUAGCAAAAUAUUAGCAAUAAUCAAUUCAGAGAUGCAAUGUUGAAUAAACGCUCAACGACGGUACUGUGCUGGUCCUAGGCUAGACCGGACUAGAGACGCGAGCCUAGAACACUAAUGAGGUCACGGCGUAGCAAAAUUAGCAUCAAUGAAGGAUACUAAAUAGCUCUGGACAGCAAGAUAUAAGUGAAGAUCACAACGGCAGUAUAGAUAAUGAUGAAAAACAACUGCCAAGCAGGAUAUACAACAACUCUCUCUCCAACUUUCCUUUUGAAAAGUUUGAGCCAAUUUUCUGAUAACUUUUCUCAAGAAUGGCACUGACUCAAGCUUUCAAACGCAAAAAGAAUCACUCAAUUCUGAGUUGAUAUGUGGAGUCAAAAAAUUCUAAAACUGGCUUGAAAAACUGGAAUAAGCUGUGUCGCGAACUUCGGAGGGCAAAAAGACCUAUUUAGAAGCCGAUUUUGAGGUGCCAAAUAGUGAACUUGUCUCUGCAACUAUUUAGAUGCGGCUUGUCGCUAGCUUUCAUUUGAGUACUCAUGGAGCCAAAACUGACUUCGUAUGAGAAAGUUAUGCCUGUUUUACUGAAUAGUGCACAAAAGAGAUUCCAAUCCGAAUUCAACUACGAGAUUGAUUCUAGAUAGAUUCGAAUUUUGUUUUUUUCUCUCUUUUUUUCCUCACACGUUUUCUUUUCUUUUUUUUUUCUAACUCUUUUUUUUACUUUUUUCUCUGUCUUUUUUUCUCUCUCCCUCUUUCCAAAACAAACUAGAUAAGAUGCAGAUUGGAUCAAGCGAAGAUGUGAACGAUCUCAACUAUGAUUAUGACAAUGAACGGUGGGUAGCACAGUGUGGAAAUUGAUGGAUGGGUGGUGGACAGCGGAAGGGAUAACGAUGUAGCGGUGACGUGACAAAUGUGAACAGAACUCGAAACUCUAAACGGACUAGGCACUAAGACCAGCAAGUCGACACGACGAUGCAACAGAUAAUUCAAUAAUGCAAACAAUGAAUAGAAAAUUGCAAAGGCUCAGACUGGCUAGGACAAAGGAUGAAUAGAUCUAACUUUUUUUAUGGCUUUUUCUUGGACAAUAGGUAAGAAAAUAAAUCUAAUCUAGGGAUAACUGGAAAUUCUCACCGAGCAACCUGAAAACUGAUACCACUUGAUAGAGGCGAGGGUGUCCCGAUCUUUCGAUGAGAUGAUAACUAUCGAUUUGGUGGAGUCCACUUUGACGAUCCGACUACAAACAUGCACGACGUUGCGCCUUAGCAAUCGCUAAACCAAUCUCCUGAGGUUACUGGCGAUGUCGGAAGCACG